AAGUCGAGGGGUAACAGGUUCCUUCGGGAAUGCUGACGACCGGCGCACGGGUGAGUAACGCGUAUGCAACCUUCCUGUAUCUGGAGGAUAGGCCUUGGAAACGAGGAUUAAUACUGCGUAACAUUAUAUUAUCGCAUGGUAAAAUAAUCAAAUCUACGGAGGAUACAGAUGGGCAUGCGUGCCAUUAGCUAGAUGGUAAGGUAAGGGCUUACCAUGGCGACGAUGGCUAGGGGUUCUGCAAGGAAGAUCCCCCACACUGGUACUGAGACACGGACCAGACUCCUACGGGAGGCAGCAGUGAGGAAUAUUGGUCAAUGGAGGCAACUCUGAACCAGCCAAGCCGCGUGAAGGAAGACUGUUCUAUGAAUUGUAAACUUCUUUUGUGACAGAGUACAGAUAGCUACGCGUAGUUAUUUGCAAGUAUGUCAUGAAUAAGCAUCGGCUAACUCCGUGCCAGCAGCCGCGGUAAUACGGAGGAUGCAGGCGUUAUCCGGAUUUAUUAGGUUUAAAGGGUGUUCAGGCUGUCUGGUAAGUCAGAGGUGAAAGUCGGUUGCUUAACGAUCGAAUUGCCUUUGAAACUGUCAGACUUGAGUAUGGAUGCGGUAGGCGGAAUGUGUCGUGUAGCGGUGAACUGCAUAGAUAUUACCCAGAACACCGAUUGCGACAGCAGCUUACCAAAACAGCAAUGACGCUGAAGCACGAAAGCGUGGGUAGCGAACAGGAUUAGAUACCCUGGUAGUCCACGCAGUAAACUAUGGCUCACUCGCUGUUGGCUAUAGAUCGUCAGCGGCUAAGGGAUACCGAUAAGUGAGCCACCUGGGGAGUACGAUCGCAAGAUUGAAACUCAAAGGAAUUGACGGGGGCCCGCACAAGCGGCGGAACAUGUGGUUUAAUUCGAUGAUACGCCGAGGAACCUUACCUGGGCUGUAAUGUACGAUGCAUAAGUGUGAAAGCACUUUUUCCUUCGGGACUUUGUACAAGGUGCUGCAUGGUUGUCGUCAGCUCGUGCCGUGAGGUGUCGGGUUAAGUCCCAUAACGAGCGCAACCCCUAUUGUUAGUUACCAGCGCGUAAAGGCGGGGACUCUAGCGAAACUGCCGGUGUAACCGCGAGGAAGGUGGGGAUGACGUCAA
This 1131-nucleotide ribosomal RNA is filed under the name uncultured organism. RNAcentral describes it as "bacterial SSU rRNA". It matches the Rfam family "Bacterial small subunit ribosomal RNA", at positions 59 to 1188 of the family's 1533-position model. The record is from RNAcentral.